GGUCUGAGAGGAUGACCAGCCACACUGGAACUGAGACACGGUCCAGACUCCUACGGGAGGCAGCAGUGGGGAAUAUUGCACAAUGGGCGCAAGCCUGAUGCAGCCAUGCCGCGUGUAUGAAGAAGGCCUUCGGGUUGUAAAGUACUUUCAGCGAGGAGGAAGGUGUUGUGGUUAAUAACCACAGCAAUUGACGUUACUCGCAGAAGAAGCACCGGCUAACUCCGUGCCAGCAGCCGCGGUAAUACGGAGGGUGCAAGCGUUAAUCGGAAUUACUGGGCGUAAAGCGCACGCAGGCGGUUUGUUAAGUCAGAUGUGAAAUCCCCGGGCUCAACCUGGGAACUGCAUUUGAAACUG
This 354-nucleotide ribosomal RNA is filed under the name bacterium LimC-1-J-29. RNAcentral describes it as "bacterial SSU rRNA". It matches the Rfam family "Bacterial small subunit ribosomal RNA", at positions 289 to 635 of the family's 1533-position model. RNAcentral also lists the same sequence under 1 other name. The record is from RNAcentral.